UGGCAUCAGAUCCCACAAGUUGAGGGC
RNAcentral lists this non-coding RNA (27 nucleotides) under Homo sapiens (human). Lineage: Eukaryota; Metazoa; Chordata; Mammalia; Primates; Hominidae. The record is from RNAcentral.